Molecule: ribosomal RNA, 950 nt
Filed under: Escherichia coli
Lineage: Bacteria; Pseudomonadati; Pseudomonadota; Gammaproteobacteria; Enterobacterales; Enterobacteriaceae
Description: partial 23S ribosomal RNA
Rfam family: Bacterial large subunit ribosomal RNA
Source: RNAcentral
CAUAGGUUAAUGAGGCGAACCGGGGGAACUGAAACAUCUAAGUACCCCGAGGAAAAGAAAUCAACCGAGAUUCCCCCAGUAGCGGCGAGCGAACGGGGAGCAGCCCAGAGCCUGAAUCAGUGUGUGUGUUAGUGGAAGCGUCUGGAAAGGCGCGCGAUACAGGGUGACAGCCCCGUACACAAAAAUGCACAUGCUGUGAGCUCGAUGAGUAGGGCGGGACACGUGGUAUCCUGUCUGAAUAUGGGGGGACCAUCCUCCAAGGCUAAAUACUCCUGACUGACCGAUAGUGAACCAGUACCGUGAGGGAAAGGCGAAAAGAACCCCGGCGAGGGGAGUGAAAAAGAACCUGAAACCGUGUACGUACAAGCAGUGGGAGCCUCUUUUAUGGGGUGACUGCGUACCUUUUGUAUAAUGGGUCAGCGACUUAUAUUCUGUAGCAAGGUUAACCGAAUAGGGGAGCCGAAGGGAAACCGAGUCUUAACUGGGCGUUAAGUUGCAGGGUAUAGACCCGAAACCCGGUGAUCUAGCCAUGGGCAGGUUGAAGGUUGGGUAACACUAACUGGAGGACCGAACCGACUAAUGUUGAAAAAUUAGCGGAUGACUUGUGGCUGGGGGUGAAAGGCCAAUCAAACCGGGAGAUAGCUGGUUCUCCCCGAAAGCUAUUUAGGUAGCGCCUCGUGAAUUCAUCUCCGGGGGUAGAGCACUGUUUCGGCAAGGGGGUCAUCCCGACUUACCAACCCGAUGCAAACUGCGAAUACCGGAGAAUGUUAUCACGGGAGACACACGGCGGGUGCUAACGUCCGUCGUGAAGAGGGAAACAACCCAGACCGCCAGCUAAGGUCCCAAAGUCAUGGUUAAGUGGGAAACGAUGUGGGAAGGCCCAGACAGCCAGGAUGUUGGCUUAGAAGCAGCCAUCAUUUAAAGAAAGCGUAAUAGCUCACUGGUCGAGU